UACGGUGGGAGCAAGCGUUGUUCGGAUUUACUGGGCGUAAAGGGCGCGUAGGCGGUCAGCACAAGUCAGUUGUGAAAUCUCCGGGCUUAACUCGGAAAGGUCAACUGAUACUGUGCGACUAGAGUGCGGAAGGGGCAACUGGAAUUCUCGGUGUAGCGGUGAAAUGCGUAGAUAUCGAGAGGAACACCUGCGGCGAAGGCGGGUUGCUGGGCCGACACUGACGCUGAUGCGCGAAAGCCAGGGGAGCGAACAGG
This 254-nucleotide ribosomal RNA is filed under the name uncultured bacterium. RNAcentral describes it as "partial 16S ribosomal RNA". It matches the Rfam family "Bacterial small subunit ribosomal RNA", at positions 524 to 776 of the family's 1533-position model. The record is from RNAcentral.